UCCGGCGGUCAAAGAUGGGCAUGCGUGCCAUUAGUUAGUUGGUGAGGUUACGGCUCACCAAGACAACGAUGGCUAGGGGGUCUGAGAGGAUGAUCCCCCACACUGGUACUGAGACACGGACCAGACUCCGUACGGGAGGCAGCAGUGAGGAAUAUUGGUCAAUGGACGCAAGUCUGAACCAGCCAUGCCGCGUGCAGGAUGAAUGCCCUAUGGGUUGUAAACUGCUUUUCUACAAGAAGAAACUUCCUGAUGUAUCAGGAACUGACGGUAUUGUAGGAAUAAGCAUCGGCUAACUCCGUGCCAGCAGCCGCGGUAAUACGGAGGAUGCAAGCGUUAUCCGGAUUCAUUGGGUUUAAAGGGUGCGUAGGCGGGGUAGUAAGUCAGUGGUGAAAGCCUGCGGCUUAACCGUAGAAUUGCCAUUGAUACUGCUAUUCUUGAGUGCAGUUGAGGUAGGCGGAAUGUGUAAUGUAGCGGUGAAAUGCUUAGAUAUUACACAGAACACCGAUUGCGUAGGCAGCUUACUAAACUGUAACUGACGCUGAGGCACGAAAGCGUGGGGAGCGAACAGGAUUAGAUACCCUGGUAGUCCACGCUGUAAACUAUGAUCACUCGCUGUUGGCGAUACAUUGUCAGCGGCUGAGCGAAAGCAUUAAGUGAUCCACCUGGGGAGUACGGCCGCAAGGUUGAAACUCAAAGGAAUUGACGGGGGCCCGCACAAGCGGUGGAACAUGUGGUUUAAUUCGAUGAUACGCGAGGAACCUUACCUGGGCUUAAAUGCAGAACGACGUACCGGGAAACUGGUACUCCCUUCGGGGCGGACUGCAAGGUGCUGCAUGGUUGUCGUCAGCUCGUGCCGUGAGGUGUCGGGUUAAGUCCCAUAACGAGCGCAACCCUCAUUGUUAGUUGCCAGCGAGUAAUGUCGGGGACUCUAACGAAACUGCCGGUGUAAACCGUGAGGAAGGUGGGGAUGACGUCAAAUCAGCACGGCCCUUAUGUCCAGGGCUACACACGUGUUACAAUGGCCAGUACAAAGGGCAGCUACCACGCGAGUGGAUGCUAAUCUCUAAAGCUGGUCUCAGUUCGGAUUGAAGUCUGCAACUCGACUUCAUGAAGCUGGAAUCGCUAGUAAUCGC
This 1133-nucleotide ribosomal RNA is filed under the name uncultured organism. RNAcentral describes it as "bacterial SSU rRNA". It matches the Rfam family "Bacterial small subunit ribosomal RNA", at positions 211 to 1345 of the family's 1533-position model. The record is from RNAcentral.